Molecule: long non-coding RNA, 1062 nt
Organism: Labeo rohita (rohu)
Lineage: Eukaryota; Metazoa; Chordata; Actinopteri; Cypriniformes; Cyprinidae
Exons: 9
Source: RefSeq, a predicted model, not a curated record
UUAUUACUCGUUCUAUGUGCUGCUGUGACAUGAAGCAGAGGAUACAAUAAAGCAUUACCGAAGCUCUCUGAACAACUAAAGCAACUGCGUGAACAGAAGAUCUCAGAACAACUGUUCGAGAUGUCUGAACAAGUAAAGCAAAUGAGUGCUGAUGUCACAUAAGACGAGACACAGAGACCAGAGAUCAGAGAAAGUGAAAGGCAACGGUUCAUUUUUGUUGAAGAGACUGCCAUAAGUAAAGCAUUUGGUCCUGAUAAGAGAUUGAGAGACAGACAGGGCAGGAAGAGAAUUGCAAUCAGAGCUGAAAAUGAAGAAGUUCAUGCACAUGAUUUCGCAGAUGAUGUGAAGAUCUCUGAACAAGAAACAAGUGCUGAUGCUACAAAAGAAGAGGCAACGAGACCAGAGAUCAGAGAAGAUAGAUCGGCUCCUGGAAAUGAACUGGAAGAGCUGAAAGAAGAAUUAACAGGAAGAGAAAUGACUGAAGAAACACCUUUUAUGAGCCAAAAGGAAGCGGAUGGACUGAAUGAGUAGCUAUAGAAGAUUCCGUUUAGUGAGACACGACACAUCCACAAGUGUCAAUCACUGUGACAUCAUCAACAUUUCAGCUCUGUCUUUUACAAGCUUCUAGAAUCCAUCCAGUCAAACUGAGAAAUGUACUCCGUGUCUCUUGUGUAAAAGUUUUUGGUUUCAGAUGAACAGGGAAAUGUGUUGUUGAAACAAUGUCAUUUAAAAUGUUCACUACAUACUUGUUAUCCUAUGAUGUGUUUUACCACAGAAGUAUCUCUCAAACCAUUGUGUGUUGUACACAGAUAAUGUUCUCAUUUAGCUUUGACCACAGUGCCUCUAAAGAGCACAUGACCUUCUCCUCAUGUGUAGAAAUUCAUCAGACUGUAAUCAAGACACACACAGUAUUCAAUGUGACACUUUUGUUGCAGAAAUUAACCUAUUAAUUAACUAGUAACUAAGUUACUGAUCUUUUAAUGGCUGACUCCAGUUAUUGUCUGUUGCGAUUGGAGGAAUCACAACAUCAUUCUAUGCCUUGUUGAUUGAGUCUUUCUCUGU